UUGAUUUUAAAAGAUGUGCUGGCUUUCUUGGCAUGUGCACUCUUAACAAAACCAAUAUCCACCUGUGCACAAUCUGUAGGCAAUUUGUUUUGCCUAUGUCUCUUUAUAAACAACUAUUGAUGUAUCUGAAUGCAUUAUAAAUAUUGUAAAA
RNAcentral lists this unclassified non-coding RNA (151 nucleotides) under Clavaria falcata. Its description in RNAcentral is "internal transcribe spacer 1". The record is from RNAcentral. Lineage: Eukaryota; Fungi; Basidiomycota; Agaricomycetes; Agaricales; Clavariaceae.